This is a long non-coding RNA of Homo sapiens (human), 403 nucleotides long. Ensembl annotates it as zinc finger protein 781. Its record names the gene ZNF781. The record is from Ensembl. NCBI's taxonomy places the organism in Eukaryota, Metazoa, Chordata, Mammalia, Primates, Hominidae.
CUGCGCCCGGAGACGUGGGAGCGUUCUCUUGUUUUCCGAGUGCGCGGACUCAUCGGGUCACAGUUUAUGCUUUUAUGACGCGGGAACACAACAGAUUUGAGAAGCCUCGGAUUAAGGAAUAAUUUAUGAAGCUCCGUUGACUACCGUGGAGAGAUCAUAAUUUGGGGUUCAAGAUUCCAGUCUGUGUUUUUCCAGAGGUGCCCUGAGGAGCAGGGAAGCAUGGCUAUUGUGGAUGUAAAAGCCAUGUUCAAGCCAGGUAUGGUGGUAUGUGCCUGCAGUCCCAGCUACUCGGGAGGCUGAGAUGGGAGGAUCCACUUGAGCCCAGGAGGUCAAGUCCAGCCUGGACAACUAUCAAGACCCCAUCUCUAAAAAUAAAUAAAUAACAUUUUAAAAAAGAUUGAAA